AGAGUUUGAUCCUGGCUCAGGAUGAACGCUGGCGGCGUGCCUAACACAUGCAAGUCGAACGAAGCUGCAAGGAACGGAGAUUCGUCGAAGUACUUUGCAGACUUAGUGGCGGACGGGUGAGUAACGCGUGAGCAACCUGCCUUUCAGAGGGGGACAACAGUUGGAAACGACUGCUAAUACCGCAUAACAUAUCCGAGCGGCAUCGCUUGGAUAUCAAAGGAGCAAUCCGCUGAAAGAUGGGCUCACGUCUGAUUAGUUAGUUGGUGAGGUAACGGCUCACCAAGACUGCGAUCAGUAGCCGGACUGAGAGGUUGACCGGCCACAUUGGGACUGAGAUACGGCCCAGACUCCUACGGGAGGCAGCAGUGGGGAAUAUUGGGCAAUGGGCGAAAGCCUGACCCAGCAACGCCGCGUGAAGGAAGAAGGUCUUCGGAUUGUAAACUUCUUUUAUAAGGGACGAAGAAAGUGACGGUACCUU
This 478-nucleotide ribosomal RNA is filed under the name gut metagenome. RNAcentral's name for it is "bacterial SSU rRNA". It matches the Rfam family "Bacterial small subunit ribosomal RNA", at positions 8 to 481 of the family's 1533-position model. The record is from RNAcentral.